GCCUAAUACAUGCAAGUCGAGCGGACAGAUGGGAGCUUGCUCCCUGAUGUUAGCGGCGGACGGGUGAGUAACACGUGGGUAACCUGCCUGUAAGACUGGGAUAACUCCGGGAAACCGGGGCUAAUACCGGAUGGUUGUUUGAACCGCAUGGUUCAAACAUAAAAGGUGGCUUCGGCUACCACUUACAGAUGGACCCGCGGCGCAUUAGCUAGUUGGUGAGGUAACGGCUCACCAAGGCAACGAUGCGUAGCCGACCUGAGAGGGUGAUCGGCCACACUGGGACUGAGACACGGCCCAGACUCCUACGGGAGGCAGCAGUAGGGAAUCUUCCGCAAUGGACGAAAGUCUGACGGAGCAACGCCGCGUGAGUGAUGAAGGUUUUCGGAUCGUAAAGCUCUGUUGUUAGGGAAGAACAAGUACCGUUCGAAUAGGGCGGUACCUUGACGGUACCUAACCAGAAAGCCACGGCUAACUACGUGCCAGCAGCCGCGGUAAUACGUAGGUGGCAAGCGUUGUCCGGAAUUAUUGGGCGUAAAGGGCUCGCAGGCGGUUUCUUAAGUCUGAUGUGAAAGCCCCCGGCUCAACCGGGGAGGGUCAUUGGAAACUGGGGAACUUGAGUGCAGAAGAGGAGAGUGGAAUUCCACGUGUAGCGGUGAAAUGCGUAGAGAUGUGGAGGAACACCAGUGGCGAAGGCGACUCUCUGGUCUGUAACUGACGCUGAGGAGCGAAAGCGUGGGGAGCGAACAGGAUUAGAUACCCUGGUAGUCCACGCCGUAAACGAUGAGUGCUAAGUGUUAGGGGGUUUCCGCCCCUUAGUGCUGCAGCUAACGCAUUAAGCACUCCGCCUGGGGAGUACGGUCGCAAGACUGAAACUCAAAGGAAUUGACGGGGGCCCGCACAAGCGGUGGAGCAUGUGGUUUAAUUCGAAGCAACGCGAAGAACCUUACCAGGUCUUGACAUCCUCUGACAAUCCUAGAGAUAGGACGUCCCCUUCGGGGGCAGAGUGACAGGUGGUGCAUGGUUGUCGUCAGCUCGUGUCGUGAGAUGUUGGGUUAAGUCCCGCAACGAGCGCAACCCUUGAUCUUAGUUGCCAGCAUUCAGUUGGGCACUCUAAGGUGACUGCCGGUGACAAACCGGAGGAAGGUGGGGAUGACGUCAAAUCAUCAUGCCCCUUAUGACCUGGGCUACACACGUGCUACAAUGGACAGAACAAAGGGCAGCGAAACCGCGAGGUUAAGCCAAUCCCACAAAUCUGUUCUCAGUUCGGAUCGCAGUCUGCAACUCGACUGCGUGAAGCUGGAAUCGCUAGUAAUCGCGGAUCAGCUUGCCGCGGUGAAUACGUUCCCGGGCCUUGUACACACCGCCCGUCACACCACGAGAGUUUGUAACACCCGAAGUCGGUGAGGUAACCUUUUAGGAGCCAGCCGCCGAAGGUGG
Molecule: ribosomal RNA, 1437 nt
Filed under: Bacillus subtilis
Lineage: Bacteria; Bacillati; Bacillota; Bacilli; Caryophanales; Bacillaceae
Description: bacterial SSU rRNA
Rfam family: Bacterial small subunit ribosomal RNA
Source: RNAcentral